UUUGAUCCUGGCUCAGAUUGAACGCUGGCGGCAUGCUUUACACAUGCAAGUCGAACGGUAACAGGGUGCUUGCACCGCUGACGAGUGGCGAACGGGUGAGUAAUAUAUCGGUACGUACCUAGUAAUGGGGGAUAACUAUCCGAAAGGAUAGCUAAUACCGCAUACGCCCUGAGGGGGAAAGAGGGGGAUCGCAAGACCUCUCGUUAUUAGAGCGGCCGAUAUCAGAUUAGCUAGUUGGUGAGGUAAAGGCUCACCAAGGCAACGAUCUGUAGCGGGUCUUAGAGGACGAUCCGCCACACUGGAACUGAGACACGGUCCAGACUCCUACGGGAGGCAGCAGUGGGGAAUCUUGGACAAUGGGCGCAAGCCUGAUCCAGCAAUGCCGCGUGCGUGAAGAAGGCCUUCGGGUUGUAAAGCGCUUUUGUUCGGGAGGAAAUCCUAGUGGCUAAUAUCCUCAUUGGGGAUGACAGUAUCCGGAAGAAUAAGACC
Molecule: ribosomal RNA, 489 nt
Filed under: Iodobacter sp. 01WB03.4-58
Lineage: Bacteria; Pseudomonadati; Pseudomonadota; Betaproteobacteria; Neisseriales; Chitinibacteraceae
Description: bacterial SSU rRNA
Rfam family: Bacterial small subunit ribosomal RNA
Source: RNAcentral